GGUGCUCGAGUGGCGAACGGGUGGGUAACACGUGAGUAACCUGCCCUUGACUUUGGGAUAACUUCAGGAAACUGGGGCUAAUACCGGAUAGGAGCUCCUGCUGCAUGGUGGGGGUUGGAAAGUUUCGGCGGUUGGGGAUGGACUCGCGGCUUAUCAGCUUGUUGGUGGGGUAGUGGCUUACCAAGGCUUUGACGGGUAGCCGGCCUGAGAGGGUGACCGGCCACAUUGGGACUGAGAUACGGCCCAG
RNAcentral lists this ribosomal RNA (247 nucleotides) under uncultured Actinomycetales bacterium. Its description in RNAcentral is "partial 16S ribosomal RNA". It matches the Rfam family "Bacterial small subunit ribosomal RNA", at positions 86 to 334 of the family's 1533-position model. The record is from RNAcentral. Lineage: Bacteria; Bacillati; Actinomycetota; Actinomycetes; Actinomycetales.